Molecule: long non-coding RNA, 217 nt
Filed under: Citrus x clementina
Lineage: Eukaryota; Viridiplantae; Streptophyta; Magnoliopsida; Sapindales; Rutaceae
Description: Citrus clementina (C. clementina) long non-coding RNA (CCLE_LNC004532)
Source: RNAcentral
UCAUCCUUCCCGCUUGAGAGCUCUCCAAGGUUAGCAAUGCAGUAAGGGUGGGUGCAUUCCAAGCAAACCAGUAGUAAACCGGAAUCAAACAGGGGUCUCGGAGAAAGACCCACUUGCUGACUCAGAUAUGUUCUUGUGUUUCAUUGAGUAGGAAGAAGAAGGCAAGUAUUUCACCCAAACUCUAGUAAAAGAGUAUUAGGAUAUACCUAAAAAAUUC